This 466-nucleotide ribosomal RNA is filed under the name uncultured bacterium. RNAcentral describes it as "partial 16S ribosomal RNA". It matches the Rfam family "Bacterial small subunit ribosomal RNA", at positions 339 to 795 of the family's 1533-position model. The record is from RNAcentral.
CUACGGGUGGCAGCAGUCGAGAAUAGUCUACAAUGGGGGAAACCCUGAUAGUGCGACGCCGCGUGAACGAAGAAGCUUUUCGGAGUGUAAAGUUCUUUUCUGUAUGAGCAAUGCUUUAUUGUUUAAGAGAUAAUAGAGAGAGAUAUUAGUACAGGAAUAAGCCACGUCUAACUCCGUGCCAGCAGCCGCGGUAAUACGGGGGUGGCAAGCGUUGUCCGGAUUUACUAGGCGUAAAGGGCAGGUAGGCGGAUAUUCAAGUCAGGCGUUAAAGGCAUCAGCUCAACUGGUGUACGGCGUUUGAAACUGGAUAUCUAGAGUCAGGUAGAGGUAGAUGGAAUUCCUAGUGUAGCGGUGGAAUGCGCAGAGAUUAGGAAGAACACCAAAGGCGAAGGCAAUCUACUGGGCCAUGACUGACGCUAAACUGCGAAGGUGUGGGUAUCAAACAGGAUUAGAUACCCGAGUAGUC